Molecule: ribosomal RNA, 446 nt
Filed under: uncultured bacterium
Lineage: Bacteria
Description: partial 16S ribosomal RNA
Rfam family: Bacterial small subunit ribosomal RNA
Source: RNAcentral
GUAGGGAAUAUUGGGCAAUGGAGGCAACUCUGACCCAGCCAUGCCGCGUGCAGGAAGACGGUCCUCUGGAUUGUAAACUGCUUUUGAAUGGGAAGAACAUACGGUUUGCGAACCGUACUGACGGUACUAUUAGAAUAAGCACCGGCUAACUCCGUGCCAGCAGCCGCGGUAAUACGGAGGGUGCAAGCGUUAUCCGGAUUUAUUGGGUUUAAAGGGUGCGUAGGCGGCCUUAUAAGUCGGUGGUUAAAGGUAGCAGCUUAACUGUUUUACAUGCCAUCGAUACUGUAGGGCUUGAGUGAUUUGGAGGUAGCUAGAAUUCCCUGUGUAGCGGUGAAAUGCAUAGAUACGGGGAGGAAUACCGAUUGCGAAGGCAUGUUACUACGAAUUAACUGACGCUGAGGCACGAAAGCGUGGGGAUCAAACAGGAUUAGAAACCCCAGUAGUCC